GUAGGGAAUAUUGCACAAUGGGCGAAAGUCUGAUGCAGCAACGCCGCGUGCGCGAUGAAGGCCUUCGGGUCGUAAAGCGCUUUUCUGAGGGAAGAGAAAGGACUGUACCUCAGGAAUAAGUCUCGGCUAACUACGUGCCAGCAGCCGCGGUAAUACGUAGGAGGCAAGCGUUAUCCGGAUUUACUGGGCGUAAAGCGCGUGCAGGUGGUUUGGUAAGUUGGAUGUGAAAUCUCCUGGCUCAACCGGGAGGAGUCGUUCAAAACUGCCAGACUCGAGGACGGUAGAGGAGAGUGGAAUUCCCGGUGUAGUGGUGAAAUGCGUAGAUAUCGGGAGGAACACCAGUGGCGAAAGCGGCUCUCUGGGCCGUUCCUGACACUCAGACGCGAAAGCGUGGGUAGCGAACGGGAUUAGAAACCCUGGUAGUCC
Molecule: ribosomal RNA, 426 nt
Filed under: uncultured bacterium
Lineage: Bacteria
Description: bacterial SSU rRNA
Rfam family: Bacterial small subunit ribosomal RNA
Source: RNAcentral